Molecule: ribosomal RNA, 584 nt
Filed under: Siphula coriacea
Lineage: Eukaryota; Fungi; Ascomycota; Lecanoromycetes; Pertusariales; Icmadophilaceae
Description: LSU rRNA
Rfam family: Eukaryotic large subunit ribosomal RNA
Source: RNAcentral
GAACUUAAGCAUAUCAAUAAGCGGAGGAAAAGAAACCAACAGGGAUUGCUUCAGUAACGGCGAGUGAAGCGGCAACAGCUCAAAUUUGAAAUCUGACUUCGGUCCGAGUUGUAAUUUGCAGAGGGUAUUUGGAAAGUGAUAUGGGCUUAAGUCCCUUGGAACAGGGCGUCAUAGAGGGUGAGAAUCCCGUAUGUAGCCACAUAUCAAUUUCAUGUCAAAUCCCUUCGACGAGUCGAGUUGUUUGGGAAUGCAGCUCAAAAUGGGUGGUAAAUUUCAUCUAAAGCUAAAUACCGGCCAGAGACCGAUAGCGCACAAGUAGAGUGAUCGAAAGAUGAAAAGCACUUUGGAAAGAGAGUUAAACAGUACGUGAAAUUGUUGAAAGUGAAGCGCUUGCCAUUAGACCGAUCUUCAGGCUGCAGUUCAGAGGGAACUCUGGACGUAACGCACCUGAUUUUCGGCCAGCAUCGGUUUAGGUGGUUUGACAAAGACUUUAAGAACGUGGCUUUUCGGAGUGUUAUAGCUUAGAGUGUAAUGAAACCUACCUGGACCCGAGGACCGCGCUUCGGCUAGGAUGCUGGCGUAAU